Molecule: long non-coding RNA, 43975 nt
Filed under: Heterocephalus glaber (naked mole-rat)
Lineage: Eukaryota; Metazoa; Chordata; Mammalia; Rodentia; Bathyergidae
Description: lncRNA (ENSHGLG00000039440.1)
Source: RNAcentral
GCCUUCGUCUUUCCUCAGUACUCUUACAACCAACCUAUUUAUAGCCCAGGAAAGGAAAAAGCUUACUGGAGGCAGGAAAACUAAGUUCGGAAAGAAUAGGAGGAAGUGUGCCUGCCAUUUAGCCAAACAACCUUUAAUUCAUUGAGCUCAAAGCUUAGCAGCUUCACUGUGGCUGCUGGGCAUAAACAGCUGGCAAAUUUCAAUUUUUUUUCUCUUUACUUUUGAACUGGAUUUAGGCAAUGAGGGUGAUAACCAUGUUUUAGAAAAGAAAAUAGGAAUCUUGGGUGCUUAGACACAAUGAAGAGAAACUUGCAAGAAGUUUAUGAGGAUGAAAGAAAAAGAUAGUGGGAUGAACUUCAGAUGAUUGCAUGUCCGCAGUUAAGGAUGGUCCAGCACUUCAAAGUCAGUUCUGAAUCCAUUUUAUUGCACAACAGAGUGAAAUCUAAGACAUUGGGCUUGCCUUGUCUUUGAGGAAAUACCUCCAGCCCUGCUCUUCGUGGGCAGACAUGCUUGGAUCGCUGUGAUUUCCAAAUGGUUUCCUGAAGUAACACUUGGCUGAGAGACAGAUGACAGCAAGGUGAAGGAAAGGUUAGGAUUAAACAUGGAGGGAUGUAGGACACACAACUGUGCACAAAUGCUCAGUUUUCCUGCGGGAGAGGGCGGAUGAGGAGGGGCCUGGGCUUCACCAAUGACCCUUACCGCCUCUGGGGUAGGGAAGAGGAGGAGAGGUAGGGAGGCCCAGCCAGCCUUCACGUGUGGAAUGUGCUUUCCAAGUCAGUUUUUUUUUUUUUAAAUAUCUCAGUAACAUAACCGCUGGAUCCUGCAGAUACCGCCAUUGUGCUUUCUUAUCAGUAGUGACUGAGCACUCGGUGACAGUGUCAGGCAUUAAGUGACCUGCAGUCAAGGUCGAGAUAUCUGGGUUGAGUGGUGCUGGUGUUGGUUUCACAAAACAGAGAAUUCAGGAACCAACAAGCGAGUUGGGAUUAUGUCUGUAGCUCCAGGAAUAGGAGUCUAGGUCAAGGGAAAAACUAAUACCUUCCUGUAACUUCUCCCACCUGGGAGCUGGGGCUGUUCUGGGGGCCCUCGGGGGCAAAGAGGUGGUGCGCAGAGGGGCACGCAGCUCUGCAGUGGGCACCUCCGUGUUUUCCAUCUGAAACCACGCCCAUGUCUUCGGAGCCGCUAACUUGUCCUUCCUCAGUGUCCUUCUCUCAAUUGCUUUGGCUUAGGACAUUGUCUGUAAAUUUUUUCUUCGCCCUGAAAUCUACCAGGUAACUUAACAUGAGUCUGCUGCCUCCUCUCAGUGCCCCUUUGGAUUCUCUGAUAUCACUACUGAAAUGCUCAGCAAUCUGUCACACACCAUUUUAGGCUGGAACUCAUAGCAAUCCUCUUGCCUUGGCCUCCCACGUGCUGGGAUUACAGGCAUGCAUCACCAUACUGGGUUUAGAAGACUUCUAAAUGAUAAUGUGAACAACCCUUUUCAGCUUUUACUCCUCUAGAUCCCUGCAUCAUUUAAGAUUCUAAAGCUGGGCUGGGGAUUUAGCUCAGUGGUUUCGCCACCUGCUGUGCAAACACAAGGACCAGAGUUUGAUCCCCCGUACCAAAAAAAAAAAAAAAAAAAAGAUCCUAAAGUUUUCCUUUGUCAAAUUCUGCGACAGUGUUGCUCUUUUGUUCUUUCUAUUUUUUUAAGAACGUUUUCCCUACAUCUGCAAAAUGGCCAUUUACCAAGAGACGCUGUUUCGCACUGCUCUCUAACUCCUUUUCCCGCAGAGAACUUGUUCUCGGCCUCACUUUAAAUAGUCCUGUGCUUGCUCAUCUAGCUGUGAGGAACUGCAGCCUGAACUCUAGGCCAGUUGUCUUCUUGUCAGCAAGAUGUUUCUCCUGGUGUUCCAUCAUCGUGUCAAACUCGGCAAGUCCAAGAUAAAAAUCCUGUCCUCUUCCUGUUCUACUCUGCCCACAAGGUUUCCUGUGAUGGCGACAUCAUCCCGUGCAGCUGGGGACGCCUGUCCUCCCACUAAGCCAGUGGCUCACUCUUCCUGCUGAAUGUGUCUCUUAGCCAUUCCUCCAUCCAUCACUGCUGCCUGUUCUCAUUCCCUCUCACCUUAUUUGUGGACACUCUAAGCACCCUCUACAGCUGGUUCUUUUCCUCAGGGGCUCCCCUUUCACACUCAACUCCUCGGAGGUUAAUCUGGGCAGAGCCACAAACUGCCUGGGGUCUCAGCCAAGGGCAUGGGACAGAAAUAUGGUGAAAGUGGCUGUAUUGUUAUAAGAAAGGGUGCAUCUCCUGAAAUUGCAAGAAGCCAAGUGGAGAAGUGGCAAGGGCCUCUCCAGAAACCAGAGCACCAAGGGCCUGAGGAGCCAGGUGCCUGCUGGAGCCUGAGGAUCCCCCUCUCUUGCCUCAACCCCUGCCCUCCCCUCAAACAAGAUAUAGCCUCAUAUAUAAGUGGUUAAUUGAUAUUUUCACUAGGACACAGAUUUAUGUGUAAUAGAGAUCAGAAAUGUUUUUAAAUUAUAAGCAUCACAUACAGUAUGAUUAUACCUUGGGCUUAGGUAUGUCCACAUGCGAUUUGAGAUCCUAAACUGUCUUAAUCAUUUUUACCUUUCCUGAUAUAAGAUAUUACAUAUAGCAACUUCCUAAUCUUAUGAUUGGCAAAUAAUGAAGAGUAUUAGCAAGCUGGGGAUUUAGCUCAGUGGCACCACGCCUGCCUGGCAAGCACAAGGUCCUGAGUUCAAUUCCUGGUACCAAAAAAAAAAAAAAACUGCAAAUAUUAGCAAGGUGUACAGAUUCCCACAUGUGUGUAUGCUCAUAUGGUUUUCUCCAGCUGACCUUUCAUCAUUGUUUUUUCAUUCUUUAGGGCUAGACAUUGUUUUUUCAAAUAUCUACUUUUAAGGCAUAAUACAUUUUGUAAUACAGAUAUGAUGGAAUGUUGUGCAGCCAUCUAGAACAAGAUUAUGUUUUGGGAAGAAUAUUUGACUAAUUCUUUAAUGUAAAAAAUAUGUCUAAUGACAUUGGAAAUGUUUACAAUAUAUGAUUAAUACAAAAAGCAGUUUGAAAAUCUGCAUGUCUAUUAUAAAUUUUAGAAAAGAACAGAGAUAUAAUUUGUUAGUUACCUCUUUCUGUGUAACAAAUCAUUCCCAAAUUAAGUGGCUUUAUAUAACAGUAAUCAUUUUUACCUGUCAUAAUUUCUGUGGAUCAACAAUCCAGAGGUUCAGACUAAGGAGAGUGUCAUGAGAGAUUGUAGCCAGAUGUCAUUUAGGGCUAGCAUCAUCUGAAGACUUGCUGGGGACCAUAACUUCUAUUUUUCCAUUUCCCCCCUAGAUUUGCUAAGGUAUAAUUGACAAACCAAAAUUUCAUCUAUUUAUGCUAUGAAAUGUAAUGUUGUAAUAUGUGUAUACAUUCUGAAAUGAAUACAUCAAGUUAUUUAACAUAUCUGUUACCUCACAUAGUGUUUUUUGGAUGGUAAGAACAUUUAAGAUCUACUUUUAGCAAUUUUCAAAUAUAUAAUGUAUUAUUAUUAACAACAGACACCGUACUGUACAAUAGGUUUCCAGAACUUACUUAUCCUGCAAAACUGAAACUUUGUGUCCCUUGACCAGCACUCCCUAUUUCCCUGAAUACCUCUACCAAGGCUUUCAAAAUCACAGUUCUAUUCUCUGAUUCAGUGAGUUCAACUUUUUUGGAUUCCACAUAUAAGUGAGAUUUUGCAGUAUUUGUUUUUCUGUGCCUGACUUUCACUUAACAUAGUGUCCUCCUAUCUCAUCCAUGUUGUACCAAGCAACUGAUUCAAACUCCUAACAGGUUAUUGGUCUAUUCAGAUUUUCUGUUUCAUCACAAUUCAAUCUAGGUAAGUUGUAUGUUUCUAGGAUUAAUUUGUUUUUUCUAGUUACAUUGUAUAACAUGUAAUCUAUCUUGGAGAAUGUUAUAUGUGCACUUAAAUAUAGUGUAUAUUCUGUACUUGUUGUAUGGCAUAUUCUCUUUAUGUUGUUAGGUCCAUUUUGUCUAUAAUGUUGUUCAAGUCUGUUGUCUCCUUAUUGGUUUUCUAUCUAGAGUUGAAGGUGAGAUAUCAGAGUUCCCUAACCUUAUUGUAUUGUUGUCUAUUUCUGUCUUUAGUUCUGUUAAUAUUUUCCAUUUAAAUGUUUCAAUAUUAGUUGCAUAUAUAUGUAAUUGUUAUGUCCUUUUGACGAAUUGUCUGCUUUAUCACUGCCUUGUUUUAUAGUUUUAGAUGUGAGGUCUAUUUUAUUUGGUAUAAAUAUAGCUACUUCUGCUCUCUUUUGUUUGCCAUUUGCAUGGAAUAUAUUUUCCAUCCUUCAACUUUCAGCUUAUGUGUGUCUUUAAAGCUAAUGUGAGAUUCUUUUAGAAAGCAUAUAGUUGGAAUGUUUUUUGGUAUUGAGCCUUCACACCAAGCUACAUUCCUUGUCCUUUUUAAAUUUUGGGACAAGGUCUCAGUCUGUAAGGAAUAUCUGGCCAUAUAGUUAAAUGUUUUGUUUUAUUCAUUCAGUCACUCUAUGUCUUUCAAUUGGAGAAUUUAAUUUAAUCUAAUUCCAUUUUAUGCAAUUGUUGAUAGGUAAGUAUUAUUGUAUUAGUCAGCUUUCCUGCAGCUGAGACACAAUAUCUGAUAUCCAAAACUUAAAAGAGGAGAGGUUUAAUUUGCCUCAUGGUUUUAGAGUGUUCAGUCCAUGGCCAAUUGGCUCCAAGGCAGGAACAUCAUGGUGGAAGAGUGUGGUGGAGUAAAGCUUCUGAGUUCAUGGUGGCUGGGAAGCAGAACAGGGUCAUAGCUCCAAAGACAAAAGGGUGAGUGGCCAGAUAUAGACCCCAAGGUCAUGCCCCUAUGACCAACCCAGCCAUACCAGAAGUGCACUUUACUCAUAAUCCCUUGGGUGGCUCCCAAGCCAAUCAAAUUGACAAUUGCUUAUAGUGUUUUGUAUUUCUUAUGCUUUGUUCUUCCUCUUUUGCUGAUUUCCUUUGUGACUGGAUGGUCUUUUUUAGUUGUAUGCCUUGAUUCUUUACUUUUUAUAUUUACUAUAUUUGCAGUAGGUUUUUUGCUUUAUAUUUACCAUCAGGCUUACCUAAAAGGUCUUAUAUUUACAAUAGUUUGUUUUAGGCUGAAGAUAGCUUAACUCUAACUGCAUAUAAAACUGACUUCUCUUUCUCCAUAUUUUGUCAUUUAUGUCACAAUAUACAUCUUUUUAGCUGGACAUGGUGGUGCACAUACACUUGUACUCCUAGCACUUGGAAGGUUAAGGCAGAAGUACUGCUAUAAGUUCUAAGCCAGCCUGCAUCAUAUAGUAAGUUUAAGUCCAGCCUAAAAUACAUAGCAAGACCCUGUCUCAAAGAAAAAAAAGAAAAAACAGAACAAAAUAAACAAACAAGUACAGUGGACCCUCAAGUUACAACCGGUAUGACAUACAAACAACUUGUGUUAACUAGGUUAAUGGAAGAUUCAUCUUCCUUUUGUUAUCUAUAGCGUGUACUCAACUAAGCAUCCAGAUCUCAGCUAUAUUGACUUGGUUACAACCAGCCUUUUGGAACCAAUCGAAUUCAUAAGUCAAGGGUCCACUGUACAUAUAUAAUUUUAUAUUGUGUAUUAUAAUUAAUAUUAACAAAUUAAUACAGUUAUAAUUAUUGCUUUGUCAUUUAAUUUUAAUACUGGAGUUAAAAGUGAUUUAUGCACCACCAUUACGGUAUUAUAAUACAGAUGAUCCCCAGUUUACUAUGAUUUGACUUAUGAUUUUUAAAAAAAUUUAUGAUGAUGCGAAAGUGACACUGUUUAGUUGAAACUAUUCACAUUUUGAGUUUUGAUUUUGUUUUUCUAGGCUAGUGAUGUGCAAUACAUACUCUCUGCUGAUGUGGGACAGUGGCAGUGAGCCACAGCUCCCUAACAGCUAGCUACCUGAUCACAAGUGUAAACACCUGGUACUCUACAUAUACAGUAUUGCUAAGCUGUGAUAGUUGGUAGGAUAGGACAACUAGGUGCAUUUUUGACUCACGGUAUUUUUAAUUUAUGGUCAGUUUAUUGCAAUAUAACUCCAUUGUAAUUGAAGAGUACCUGUAUUCUGAAUUACCUUACCACUGAGUUUUAUAUUUUCGUAUGUUUACAUGUUGGUUAGGAGCCUUUCUUUGCAACUUGAAGAACUCCUGUUAGUACUUAAGACAGAUCUAGUGGUAAUGAACUCCCACAGCUUUUGUUUGUCUAGAAAAGUCCUUUCAUCUUCAUUUUUAAAAGACAUUCUUGCCAAGUCUAGUAUCUUGGUUGGCAGUUUUCUUUUUUAUUUUGUUUUUAGUUUUUGAGACAGGGUCUUGCUAUUGUAGUUCAGUCUGGCCAUGAACUCACUAUGUAGCCAAGGCUGGCCUCGAACUCAUGGCGAUCCUCCUGCCUCAGCAUCUGAAAUGCUGGAAUUAUAGGCAUACACCACCACAUUUGGCAAAUUGGCAGAUAUUUUUCUUUCAGCACAUUAUGAAUAUCAAUCACACUCCUGCUUGCAAGAUUUCUGAGCAAUCCACUGAAAGUCUCUUGAGGGUUCCCUGUAUUUGAUGAGCUGCUUUUCUCUUGCUGUUUUCAAAAUUCACUCUCUGACUUUUGAGAAUUUUGUUAUAAUGUGUCUGGGUGAAAAUAUCUUUAUAUAUAAUCUACUCAGGGAUCUUAGGACUUCAUGGAUCUGAAUAUUCAUUUUAUUUUCAGAUUUCUGGAGUUUUCUGCCAUUAUUUCUUUAAAUAAGCUUCCUGCCCUGUAUUUUUUUCUCUUUGCCUUCCAUGAAUCCCAUAAUGUAUAUUAAAUUUCUUGACAGUGUCCCUAUAGAAUUGUAGAUUUUUUUUCUUCAUCAUUUUUUGCUUUUCACACUUCUGACUAGAUAUUUCAAAUAAUCUGCCUCUUGCUUAUUCGAUCCUCCCAUUGAAGCUUUCUGUGGAAUUUUCAGUUCAAUCUUUUAGCUCCAGUGUUUCUGGAGGUUUUGUUGUUCUUGUUUUCAUUGUUUAAUAGUUUCUAUAUCUGUGUUGAGUGUCUUGGUUUUGCUUGUUCGUUUAAUGGUUUCUGUAUCUUUGGUGAACAUCUCACUUUUUUGUUUGUCUGUCUAAUGAUUUCUGUAUCUCUCUUGAGUAUCUCAUUUUAUUUAUAUUAUUCACCUGAUUUUAUUUAGGUAUCUCUUCUCUUGUAGCUUGCUAAGCUUCUUUAAGAUGAUUAUUAUGAUUUUUUGGCAGACAUUUCAUAGAUUUCCAUUUCUUUAGGGUCAGUUACUGGUGCUUUAUUUUGUUGUUUGGUAAUGUCAUGUUUCUCUGAUUAUUCAUCACUCUGUAGCCAUAUGUUGGUGCCUGCACACUUGAAGAAGAUACUUGUUCUGUUACAUACUAACUUUGAUGGGGAAAACUCUUCACUGGUUGGUGAAACUCUGGAUAGUUCACUGGAAACGAUGGAUAGGCUGUCUGGUGGAGUCUGAGGGUAGGUUGCUGUCCACUCCUUGUGCAAACUGGCCUGGUGCUUGGGUCAAUGAGUGGUGAGAGGGCAGGCCUGAAGCUUGGAUCUCCUGGGAUGGACCUGGAUCUUGGGUUUUUGGGAGCUGGCUGAAAGCCUAGGUCCAUAGAGUCUGACCUGGUGCUGGGGUAGGCCUCGAGCUUGAGUCCUUGGAACCCACUCAGCAUUGGGAUGGGCCUGCCUAACUGUGGAGACAAGACUGGAUCCUGAGUUCACAGAGGCUGGCCUGAUGCUGAGCCUGGCCUGGAGUCUGGUUCCACAGAGGCUUCCUAGAUAGAGGUCAGGCUGCCAGGAUGGGCCUGGCUCUCUGGAAGAUCUGGAGCCUGGGUCUGUCAUAGGCUUACCUUUGUGCUUUGUCAGAAAUGAAGCCUAAGGCUAUGGAGGCCUUCCUGGAUCCUAGAGCCUUGGGAGCUAGCCUGGUGCUUAGAUGGACUCGGGCGCUUGGUCUAUGGGUGCUGUCCUGGAGCCUGUGGCCUUGCGCACUUCUUUGGUGCUGGGCCUCACUGGUACAGGCUUCAUGCUGGAGUCCACAGUAAAGUUAGGAGCUCCCUGGUCACUGGAUGAGGCCCAGAUAAAGGCGGACACGUUUAAGCUGGAAAAUGAAUUGUGGUUUGAGACCUAGCCUUCUUUGCUCUCAGAAUUCUACAGGCAAGGCAGAAAAUGUAACUGCUAAUAGGUUUUGAGUUUUAUAUCUUGUAACUUGGCCACAGAAAAAAGAUGUUCUGGUUCCAUAUCUGAAAAAUAUGGGUAAGGGAUGCAUUAGGUUAGGGAACUGUCCACCUGAUUCAGUUGCUUACUCUUAGAGCACUCAAAUGUGGCCUAACCAGAGAAGGACAUUGAUUGGCAGAGUGGGGGUUACACACCCAAGGGAAGAUGGGCGAUGGGACUGUGGUUGAAGGUAGUGACUGGAGAGAAGAGAUUUGGGAUGUCAGGCAGUGUCAUAGACAUCAACUAUAACUUCUCAGCCAUUUCUGUCUGAGACAAUGUCAUGUAGGUGAUGACGCCAUGAGGCUUAAGAUUAUCUUAAUGAAUGUAAAAAUGCACACAGUUUACAUUUUUAUAACACAGUAUGGUUUUUCAAUGAACUUUUUACUAUAUUAUUUCUAUUCUUUUCAAAAGCAAUCCGUGAAACAAAUUCUCCCAUUCCUAUCUUGUUGAUUCACUUUUUCUUGAAAGCAGAAUUAAAGGUUUAUUAUAUCAGUGAUAUCAUUCAAAUAGCUUUUGAUUGUUCGUUUGUUUGUUUGUUUUUGGUAUGGGGAUGGAACUUGGGACCUUGUGCUUGCGAGGCAGGUGGCAGCACCACUGAGCUAAAGCUCCGGCCCUCAAAUAGCUUUUGAAGAAAACUUUGGUGAAAAAAAUCAUCCAUUUAGCUUAUUGGAUCCUUGUAAUACAUAUAAAUUCCACGGGUGCAUAAGAUGCACCCAUGGAAUUUAUAAAACAAACAAUAAAAGAAAACCUAGGAAGCAAUAAUAUGAAAAUAGGCCAAGCAGGGGCCUGGGAUUUAGCUCAGUGUUUCCGGCGCCUGCCUUGAAAGCACAAGGUCCAGAGCUUGAUCCCUGGUACCAAAAAAAAAAAAACCAAUUUGUGGUGAUCCUCCAGCCUCAGCCUCCUGAGUGCUGGGAUUACAGGCAUGUAUCACCACAUCUGGCUUGAAAAUAGGCCAAGCAGAUCAGAAGCAAGGAUUCCAGUCACUAUGCCUACCUCUACCAUAUGGUAUCACCUUACUCACACCAAUAGCAAAAACUGGGAAUGAGGGAAGAGUUGUUCCUAAGCAGGCUACUCCACUGAGAUCCUUUACAGACUUGGUGACUCUUAAAUCAGACUUAUAAUGUGGUGGAUUCACUCUCCAAGUGGAUUAAGAGAGGGAUGGGAUGAGAAAUUUUGUCUUUGAUUCUUAGUCCUGUGGAGUAUUCCAUUUUAGCACCCCAGUGAUCAGGACAGGACCACAAACUCCUACAUAAUAGGGAAGGGGGAAGGACAUUUGGAGAGAUCUUAUGCUCAGAGCAUGAGCUGCACUAAUAUUCCUAGUUUCCUAGUGUCUCACCCACAGUUCCCUGCACCUGAGGCCCAUUAUGUGUAAAAUCCACAAAGGCUGAGGAAGAGCUGCCAAGGAUUGAUGGCCUGGAGGAGCCACAGGGCCUCUUGUUGGACUAAGACUAAAGAGUUAACUUCUGGAAAGAAUUUUCAUCUACUUUCCCAAUAAGACUGAUUAGAACCAUCUAUCUAGUCCUGAGAUUUCAUGAAGGGACAGAUGGGAUGUGCCAUCUGGCCUGGUGAAGCUUAGUCCGGGUUGCUCAGAGGAGUUUUAGCUCCACCAUGCAGGGAAGGACUUUACCUUCAGAUGUUCUAAGGAGCAGAGGUGCUAGGAGGUGCUAGACAUUGUCCCACCCUGCCCUGUACAUCUCAAUUUUAAGUACAAGGUGCUGCAUUAUUUCUUAAUAUACCAACUGAGUACCUGUUAGACAACUUCACAUUUACCAUUUUGCUGAGAUUAUAGCAUGGAAACAUUUCUUAUUGCCAAUUCUCUGUUUCCCUUCUACUUCUCUCACCCUCUACUCUCUCCACAAAGUGAGCUUCUUUUGUUAUUGUUGGUAUAAAGAACUUUCCUUCAAUUAAUUUCAAGGCCUCAGAAGAGCAGUUAAGAGGGCUUGAGUUGGGGAGAGGUCUUGAUCCUCUUAUUUACACAUAUACAGCCCCACAUCUGUGAAGCUGAACUGAUUAUGGAUCUGUCCUUUAGUUUAUUUUUUAAUGAUAAUGUCUACAUUUAAUAGUGAGUGGAGAGAUGGAGGGAGGGGGAAAUUCUUAAAAAGAAUCAAGGUAUGUUAUGAACAUGUACCAAUUCCCCAAGAUGAAUCUAUGCAUUAUGUACUGCAAACAUGUCCUAAUACAAAUAAAAAUUUAAAAAUAGUACAUUUAGGCCAUAUCCACUGUGUUUAUAGAAGUAUUAAUGUUAUUUUUAUUUUCUAUUGCCAUUGUUUUUUUAUUGUCUCCAUUUUCUGCCUUUUAUUUGAUUUUUCAAGUUUUUAUAUUCCAAUUUUUCCUCCUUUGUGAUUUAGAAGCACAUAAUUUAAGUUUCUUUUGUAUGAGUGGUUAUAUUUAAAUAUAUACUUGACUUAAUAAAAUAUAUAUCUUCAAUCUUCUUCUGAAUAAUAUCUUAGAAACUUUUAAUUCUGAUCUCAUUCUCCCAUCAUUGAUGUUAUUGUUGUUAAACAUUUUAGUUCCAUAAAAAAAAUUAGCUUUGUUAAGUUAUAAUUGACACAAUAAAUUUCACAUAGUUUCAGUAUACAAUUUGAUGUCUUGAUCUAUGCAUACACCCAUGAAACUAGCAGCACAACAGAAUAAUUAAUAAACCCAUUUAAAAAAAAAUGAUGCAUUUCACACACACAUAUAACUGGCUGCAUAUUACCAAGAUUGGCUAGUUUUCUGCAAACUCAUUUCACUUGAUGAAGGACCUGUGAUGAUCACUAUUCAUCAAACCACAAGGCAUUGCGCUAAGUGCUUGUGCUAGGUAGCUUUCCACUGCUAAGACAAGAGCCUGAGAUAAUCAGUGUGAUUAAGAAAAAAGGUUUCUUUUGGCUCAGUUUUAGAGAUUUCAGUGCAUGAUCAGCUGGCCCUGUUGCCUUGGCCCUGGGGCAGCACAUCACAGUGAGAAUGCAUAGUGGAGCAAAGCUGCUCACCUCAUGACCAGGAAGUAAAAAGAGAGGGAAGAGGAGGCUGGGGCCCCACAGUCCCCUUCAAGGGCACAGCCCUUAUGACCUGAAGAUCUCUCACUAGGUCCCACCCCUUAAAGUGUCUACCACCCCCCAUUAAUUCCAGGGGCUGGAGCCCACCUUUAACGGGUAGAACUUUGGAGAAUGUUUAUCCAAACCAUAGUCCUGCUUGUUCCUAUUGUCUUUAAUUUUUAAUUACACAAACAAUACAGGUUUGUUAUAAGUGAAUGUACUCAAUACUAAAAUGAAUUGUACAGAAAGAAGAAAGACUUGGGAUCCUCUUGUUUAAGAGUGGAUAUAUUUUUAUUGCUUACUGUUACAGCAAUUAUUUUCUAUGCAUUUGAAAGCAUGUGUUAUUAUAAUAAAAAUGGAGCUAAAUGUAUAGUUUUUUUCCAGCUCAUUUACCUGCUACAUCAAGUUUGUCUUUUUAUCCUUUUCAUGCCUGAUGUACACACACAACAUUGACUGCAUGUAUUGUGAUUAUUUUGAUUAUUUUCUUUUUUCUUUCUUUCUUUCUUUCUUUCUUUUUUUCUUUCCUCUUUCCUAUGACAAAUAUCAUAUUGAACUUGUCUUACAUAUAUUUUUGUGUACUGACCACAUUUUUAUAGGAUAAAUUUCUAAAGUGGAAUGCAUUAUUUCCUAUCUGAGUCCUAUGUAGGAAGCCUAUAUAGCUAGCCACCCUUUGAUUAGCUUUUUUCUUUUACAAAUGAGGAAUUUGAUCCUUAAAUACUUAUUUAAUUUAUAAGUACAGAAUAGGGAACAGGAAUCCUUGUAUCCUUUUCCGUGGCAUGCAACCUUCCCACCUGGUUUUCAUACUAGUUUAGAAAAUGGUUAAAGAAGAAAAACUUUAUGGUGGAACUGUCAGGGGAAUUACUAGGAAUUCUCAGCUAAGAAUAUCCUACGUAAUUAGAAUGUAGGGGACAUAGUUGUUCAAGCAAUUUAUAUUUUUGCCUGGCCUCUCAACUGAGGACAUGAACGUGAGCUGAUGGUCUAUUAAUAGCAGGUUACUGUGAAGCAUCCUCGGGAGGUUGCAAAGGAGCUGUCUGUCAUGGGCACCUAGGAAAUGCUUGCCCACUUUUUGUUCUGAAGUAAAGGACACAUCUGGCCAGUAUAUUGGGUCCAAAAUUGGACUUAUAUUUAUUUUACUUAAUAAGAGCUUUUAAAUCAUAUGAUCACUUGUUGGUUGCUAUUUUUAAUGCGCCAGGGGUGCAGACAUUUCUUGCGAUUCUUUCUAAAUAAAGAUCAAUUUUCUACACAAGGAUUGUUUUAAUAAUGUGGACAAAUUUCUCUUAAUUUGCAUGAGUAUAGUGUACUUAUUUUUCUUAUAUCCAAGAAUCCUGUGGUCAGUUGUUUGUGUCUUGAGAGUGUAUUGCCUGGUGCAGCCAUACAAGUUAACAGGAAUGUGGAGUACAUAUGCUGUUAAAAAUACAGACAAAUAUAUUCCAACACCUCACUCCAAUCUCCCAAGCUAAACUAGAUGGAGGAAACUUACAGUUCGGACAAGAUGGUUUUAGAUUAAACCCUCCUCCCCCCAGGUGUGUAACUCUAGACACUGGGUGCUCUUCGUGUGCCUGCCUCAGCAGGCAUGUGAGGGAGCUGACGCUUCAGCUACAUGGCCUCGGUCUAGCAAAUGAGGUCGAAACAGUACAGGGCUGACUCACCCUUUUCCCCACCUGCUGUGAAAGGGUAGUAAAAUGUUUUUAGUCCGGCCUUAAUAUUUUCUUUCUUCAUAGCACAUUAGUUCACAUUUGCUCAUAAAAAGAUUUUUAAACCAAUAAGCAAUCGAUUGUAUGCCUGGAAUGAUCUUUAGAGUUCACGGACAGUUGGUGCGUGUGCAUGACAAGGGCUGAAAUAGCAGGGAGUGAAGAAACGCCAACUUUGAAACAAGGUGUGGUGGUGCUUGCCUGUAAGCAAAGCGCUCAGGAGGCUGAGGCAAGAGGCCAGCCUGGGCUGCACAACGAGAACUUGUCUGAAAAUGAGACCGGGGGUGGGGGUGGGGGGCUUUUAAUGGAUCGAUUUUAGUCAGUUGAGUUUGAAAGAACAUUCUUUCUCUUCAUGAAACAUAAGCAAGCAUCUUCAGCAUAAAUGAUUUAGUAAACAUACCUGUUAGGACAUAAUUUUGAGAUGAAGUUGUUAGUGGUUCUUGUCCUACAGUCUUGAUCCUCAAAGCUAACAUUUCUCAAGGUUUCUAACUCAUGACCUUUGCAUUGCUAUUUGUUCAGUGUGGGGGAAAUAAUUGACAAAGCAUAGUUAAGCCAGGUAUGAGCAAAAUUGGUUGGGACAAAUUUUCAUCAGUAAUAACUCUUGCAAGAGGAGGAAAAAGCCUAGCGUGAACUGAACUCAACUUUUUGAUUUUUACAGAGAGAAUGAGGGGGUUGGCAGGGAACAAGUAGGGGAUCAGUAGAAUCAGAAAAGCAAAGAAUUACAAAGGGUUGGUGGGUGUACAUGAGAUUAGACCACCUGUGUCUGCUGACUGACAGUUAAAAAGUUAGUAUUCUGGUCUCCCAUGGUUGGAAGACAAAGGUUCUUUUCUCAAGUGUGGGCAGGAACAGUCUUUAUUUUUUUUUAUCCUUGAGUUUUCCCAGGCAGACACUUGAAAGGGGACUACAGUCAUCUUACCCAUGUGGCCAUGAGCUGCUAGAAACCAUCCUAAGGUUUGUGCUGGACUUCAGAGGCCAAGAUUGAGGCUGUGGUGAGGAGAGAGCUCAAAGGAGCCCAGCUAGCAUUUGGUCAAGAAGAACAGCUUCGUCGAUAGCAAAUGGAUACAUAAUUUUACACUCCCAGUAAUUUCAGUUUUGUACAUCUAUAUGGUGGACAGACAAUCAGCAGCAACUGGAGAUACAGGUACAAGAAUUGUUAGUUCAACAUUAUUUACAGAGACAAAAACUGGGGACAUUUUGAAUAUUCAUCAACAAAGCGAAUAACCUAUUGAUGUAGCUGUACUGCAGGGUAGGAUGCAGUUCUUAAAAACAAUUUAAACCUAUAUUAUUGACUUUGGAUCCAAUAUACCUGUCUGUGAUGCAUUAUUAAAGCAGAAAAAUCAACUUAUAGAGUAAGAGAGUUUUAAAAUAUGAAAAAGUAGAACACAUACAGGUGUGGCCAAAAUAUAUAGUGAAUGUUUUAAAUUAAAAAAAAAUUUUUUUUGGUACCAGGGAUGGAACUCAGGUCCUUGUGCUUGCACAGCAGGUGGCGAACCACUGAGCUAAAUCCCUGGCCCUUAAAUUUUAAAUUUUUAUUACAAUAAAAAUCACAUUGCUAUUAAUCCCCUUCACUUUGAAGAUAUUCAUCCCAUCAUUUUUGCUACUUUCUGAAGCAGUUCUGGAAGUUCUCUUUCCUGAGGGUCUUUAUGAGUUAUGAUAAAAAAAAAAUAGGGUGUAUGUUGCUGCUGAGGGCCACCCCAUGGAAAGCCAGGCUUCUAAAAACAUUGCAGUGUGUCUUCAUCCCCCUUAUUCACUGAAUCUGACACUGAUUGACUUCUGGUUUUUCCCCAAAGUCAAAAUGACCAUGAAAGGUCAACAUUUUGAAUCAAUUGUGUACAUCAUGGUAACAGCCAGAACAGCACAACUAAGGGCACUCCUGAAAGAGGACUUCCAGAACUGCUUCAGAAAGUGGCAAGAAUGAUAGGAUAAAUGUUUUCAAAGUCAGAGGGAAUAUUUUGAGGGGAUUAGUGACAAGGUGUCUUUUACUUUAAUAACUUUUAAAAAUUUAAACAUUCACUGUAUUUUAUGAUAGCUCCAUCUACAUGCAAAUAUGUGUGUGUGUGUGUUUGUGUAUGUGUGAGAUAUAUUUUUAUGUGGUCUCCAUGAGAUCAGAAGAUAGGAAAAGGGGGUUAUUCAAUUUUUUAUUUAGGUAUUCUUUGAAUUAUUCAACUUACUACAAUGGGCAUGUAUGGGGUUGUGUGUGUGCGUGCAUGUGUGUUGUACUGGGGAUUGAACCCAAGGACUCACAAACCCAAAGCAGGUGCUCUACCACUCAACUACAUCCCCAGCCCUUUUUAUUUUAUUUUGAGACAAGUCACUCUAAAUUGCCCAUGCUGGUCUCAAACUUUCCAUCCUCCUGCCUCAGCCUUCCAAGUAGCUGCAAAUACAGGCAUAUGCCAGAGUGCUCCAAUUUUUAAAUUCAAGUAUUUCAUAAAAUAAAAGUAAACAAAUACAGGAGUCUUGCUUUUUUUAUUUUGUGAAACAAGAAAGGAGACCAGUCUUCACUGUGAUGGUAUUUGCCUUCUGUAGCAUGGCUACUAGAAUGCAGAUGUAAACAUUAUUGCUGGGGAUUCAGAUUCCUAUCAAAGCUUCACAGCUAAGCCUGGUGUUUAUCAGCUGUUGUAAUCUGUGCUCCUUUUCUUUGUUUUUUGGUAUCGGGGAGCGAACUCUGGACCUUGCGCUUGCGAGGCAGGUGGUGGAACCACUGAGCUAAAUCCCCGGCCCCUCGCUCCUUUUCAUUGCUGAGGGACUUUAUUGAGCUUUUGACCUUCUGUGAUCUUAUAUUAAGAAAACAAAAGCCAGGCGUGGUGGCGCAUGCCUGUAACUGUAAUCCCAACACUGAGAGGCUGAGGCAGGAGGAUAGUUGUGAGUUUGAGGCCAGCCUGAGCUCAAUAGUGAGUUCCAGGGCAGCCUGAACUACAUAGCAAAAUUUAUCUCAAAAAAACAAAAAAAUAUGAAAAAGUAAAAGAGAACAUUGUGCCCACUCCUCAGUUCUUAUCGCUCAGUUUAAGAUGUUUUACCCCAGCAUAAAUGUGUGACCUGCUUUUCACUAAUAAGAGUGGCCAUCACAAACAUGAGCUAUGAGAAUUAUCUUUUCUUUUUAGUAGCACUAGGAAUUGAACCCAGGUCCUUUGCACUGCGUUACAUCCCCAGCCCAUAUUUACAUUUUUAAUUUUGAGACAGGUUCUUGCUAAGUCGCUAAAUUGUAUUGAGCUCAGACUUAUAAUGUUCCUGCCUCCGCCUCCUCCAGAUUGCUGGAAUUAUAGGCAAGAGAACACUAAUUUUCAAAUUAAAACAUUAGGCUAGGUGUGGUGGCACAUGCCUAUCAUCCCAGCACUUGGGAGACUGAAGUGGGGGGAUCGUGGCAAGUUCAAUGAGGCCAGCCUGGGCUGUAUACAGAAAUGAGUUCAAAGUCAGUCUGAACUGUAGUGAGACCCUGUCUCAAAAAAAAAAAAUAAAACAUUAGAUAAAACUGAAAAUUCCUCCACUGCUUUUCUUUUAUGUGCUGGUAAAAUUGCCUUUUUAGUUUACUCCCUGUGAUCUAAAAAUGAAAAAUCCUGUUGUAAUAGUAUUAGAUCCUCAUUCCUCAGUGAGUUCCCCCUCUCUGUGGUUGCCUUUGUGUUUGCUCAGAAGCCCUAAGAAAAAAGUCUUAGCUAAAGAUUUUCCGUACACAAAGAUGUCAGUGAAUACCGAGACUGACACCACAAGGCUGAGCAAAUGCAGCAUAAGAAAAUCACAGCACUAUUGGGUGAAUGUAUGGUAAAGAGUGAGACUUUACAAAAGGAUCCGGAAAUGAGGUCAAGGUCUGGGCCCCCAGGUUUAUAACCUAGCAAUGGGUGGACUAAGACUUGAGCAAGUAGUUCAAUGCUAAGGCUGGAAAGUAGCCUUGUUAGUUAGCUAGCUGGGUUCGAGUAACCUGGUAAUUAAGAGUGAAGAGCAAACGUGAUUGGGUGGGACAUUGCCAUUGCUUAGAAUUAUGCACAAUUUUGACCAGAUGGAAUCAAAUUAAUAUGGCUAUUUUAUAAUUUUGGCCCUGGUGUAAAAAUCCAUCCACCCAUUCAUUCGUUCGUUCACUCAGGAAGUGUUCAUUGAGUGGUACCUUCUAGCUGGGCCGGAACUGUGGUGAAUCCAGGGCAGCUCAAGGACUCAGGAAGAGCCCUGGGUGGAUCGAGGGAAGCCAUAGUGUGAAGCUGGGGUGCAGGGAGGCCAAGCACCCCUAGAGUUCAGGUGCAAGAGCAAGAGGAUUUGGAGUUUUGAGCAGUGUUUUUCCUUUGACUCCUAGGAACCUUGAACGGCUUCCCCCAACUCGUGUAUUCUCUCCCUUGGGGCUGUUUACUAGUUGUGGUGGGCUAGUUAACCUCACUAGAGGUCAUCUGGGUAAAAACAGUAUCUCCUUCAGGCAUUGACAUGAGAAUUAAGGGAGCAGUUUGCUCAGAUGCUACUUGUAACACGUCAUCAAUAAUAUAUUAACAUAUGUUACAUAUUAAUGGGUUCCUAUUAUUAUUAUAGAUCAUUAUCUAUAAUAUAGAUACUUAUAUAUGGCCUUCUACAGGUUCCUCUUUUCUCCCAGAGAUUUGGAGAACAGAGGUUUUUAUCACAUACUUUGGUGAAUCUUUCAAUGCAAACUACAUUGAACAAAGGCAAUACAUUUCUUCCUUUACAGAUGUUGAUUUGCUUUCCUCAAGGGCAUUAGAGGUUGAAAAUUACUUCUUUUUUUUUUUUAAAAAAAGUCCUUCUUUCUUUUCUAUUUGUUACAGCAUAUAACCAGCACAACUCUUCUGAUUAACUGACUGUGACUGGGUACUUAUUUUGACUCUGCAUAGCUCAAAAAGAAAGAAAGGGGGAAAUAACAGGAAGGUUAGUGAAAAUUCCCCAUGAUAAGUACUUAGCUAAAUGUUGGAACUAAAGAAGAGAAACAGAGAAGACAUCAAAAAAGGUGCCAGUACCUAACAGAGGGCAUGCACAAGGUAGAGCUGGAAGAAGAAGAGAGUAAGGCUGCAUACAAAGAAAGUGGAGAGACAGGUUACCAUGAGCUGAUGCCUCAACUUGACCAGCAGGGGGUGGAGCACUAACUCGAAGCAGUUGCGCUUGGCCGAAGCAGAAAGGCUACGUUUCCUGAGAGCCACUCCAGGGGAGAAGAUGCCCACGGUGUGGGGGGGAUGGAUACCCUUGGGCAUCCCUGCGCUUGGGAAGUUCAGACAGGUACAGAGGCCUGAGAGGAUGGCUCUGCAGAGUCCCAAGAGCUUGGACAAGGCCCCCUUCCCUCCUUUCUGCCUCCUUUGAGCCUGGCAAUUCUACCGUUUGCAGUAAUUUGCAGUCUCCUAUUAGGUCCAGUGCUAGCAAGAGAGAGGAGCUAGACUUGAGAAGAAGUGUCUGGCUUGGGUAUUGAAUGGUGAGGCUUCUUUAGCUCUUGGUCCUUUGUCCUUCAUCCCUUUUCUUGUCCAAGGCUUUCCAUCACUGUAAAGACAAGGUAUAAAUACACCAAAAUACUAUUUCAAAUGAUCAGUAGGCCUCUUUUUCUGUUUCUGAUAGAAGAUUGUCACAUCAGCAUGUAUUUUAGGGCACUGCAUUUAGUUUUUUGUUCUUUUGAGACAAGGUCUUGCUCUGCCUUUUGAUACUCGAUAGAAGUUUAUUUCUAUUACUAGCUAUAAUCUCUUAGAAAAUGAUAUUUUGAUGCUUACAAAAUAUUUCAUUUACACUUUGGGAUCUCUUUGUUGGUAACAAAUUAGGCCCUUACUCCCCUGAAAGUGUAACCGGACUGAGGGUUUCCCCCCAUUAUUCUAGAAAAUACUAUCCUCUAUAUGGAGGGAAACUUCUGAUAUGAUUUUCACUGUUAAUAAUUAUGAGACAAAUCCCAGAAUGAAUGAUUGCCCACACAUGCUUCUACACUGAGUAAGAUUUCACUUAUUAAAAAUCAGGGUUGAGCUGGGUGUGAUGCUGUACACCUGUAAUCCUAAUACUCAGGAGGCUGAGCCAGGAGGAUUGCCACAAGUUAGAGACCACCUGUACUACACAGUGAGUUCAAGGAUGGCUUAAACUACAUAGUAAGACCCUGUCUCAAAAAAAAAAAAAUCAAGGUUGACAGUUUAACAGGCUAAUUAUGGUUCUGAAAUCCCCAAGGGGACUUUAACCAUAGUUUUUCAGACAUUCACUUUGCCAAAUAAGCCACUGUCAGAUAUAUCUACUGUACCCUGAAGUGCAAGAGCAACACUGAUUUGGGGAAGUGUCGCUCUUGCUAUACCAAGAGGUCAGACACCCAAGUUCAGAGUAAUGGCUGAUCUUGAUUGUCAGCUUGGUCGGCUUGAGCGAUGCCUAGAUUAGUCGAGCAUGCUCCUGGGGGUGUCUGGGUAGGAUUUGGGGGUGCGACAUUCGGGACUGUGUUUGGUCCCUUCCUCCUUCCUCUCUGGAUCUUUCCAUCUUUCUCUUUUUUCUGGAUGCCAUGAAUUGAGCAGCGUUCCCUUGCCAUGCUCUUCUACAUGAUAAUUCUGCGUAGGCACGAGCAGGCCUCUGACACUGUGCACCAUAAUAAAUUUUCCUUCUUUAAUUGUGUGUCAAGCAUGUUGUCCCAGCAAUGGAAAGGUGGCUAAUGUAAUCAGACACCAUCCCAAACCAGAUACUCCAAGGACUUUCCUUGGGGAGAAGGAUGGUAAGCUAAGGCUGGGAAAACAAGGCCAGGAGAGAAGUAUGACUCCAGAAAAAUUUCCAAGAUGGUUUACUACCUCUCUGAGCAGCAGGAAAAAUGGCAGGUCAGUCCAACUUCUCAGCACACCCAACGGGGCAGCAGAAUAUCUACGAUGUGCUGUAUAAACUUGAUAAUUGCUGUUUCCACUUGCGCUGGCCGAUAAUCUUAGGUGCUCUGCUGAGCCCCAAAAUGUUGACACAGUGCAGCACAUAAUGAUGCAGAAGGUGGUCUUAGGGGACCUGAAGUCAUUUCCUUUGACUCUUUAGAUAAAGCCACAUUUGAUUUUCUUCAGGCGCUCCUCCUACGUUUGCCAUCAGGCAUCUGUGUGCAUAGCAGCCCUGCGCUUUGAAGUCAAACCUAAGCAUGGUGGGAUGGGUAGUUAGGGUCUGCCCUCCUCAGGGAUGGUCCACUUAGUCCUGGGGCUCUUCCAGCAAACCCAAGCCUGGAAUUCUGAGAAAAUGAAACCGAGCAGAUUGUGUGUUUCAGGGCCACCUGAAGUGUAGCGCUGUUUCCACCUGCUGUGUGAAUUCCUGCUUCCUUUUUCUUGCCAGUGAAGAGCCCUGGUGAAACUGUGAGUUGAGAGGGCCCAGGGACUGCCAGCCUCUCGUCCCCCUCACAAACACGAUUCAACCUUCCACUGGUGGUGACCUGCCCUCCGGUGGGUCUUAGCAGCUGUUGGCAGUUUUGCACUAAAAGAAAACAAACUGAGGAAUGUACUUCCCUGCAUACUAACGAAAUGGCCCGGCCAACUCAGGGGUGAUGAGAAGGCUUUCGGAACCCAGGAGAAUAAUGAUCCUCAGUCUCUGACCUCCUGGCACGGCUUGCUGUUUAUCAGGAGGCACAUGUGACUGGCUAAGACGCUGAGCUGGGGCUUCAAGGAAACAGCUGCUGCUGGUGUACUUGGCUUUUGGCAGCUGGACAGGCAGAACACAGAGACAAAACCACCCCAGUAAGUAACUGCAGACUUUCAAGCUGUGUGUGCGCGUGUGUUUGCACAAGCUACCAACAACUUAUUUUAUUUUGAUUUUGGUUUCCCUCUGACUCUGUAGAAGGAAAUGCCUUAUUUGUACCUGUUAAUACCCAUUUGUGCUUUUACUAGCCAUUGAAGAACCUGUGAUUUUUAGCAACGUCGUCUUCUAGCUUUGCAAGGGAUGAAUGUGGCAUCUUCCUUUAUUCCUGUCUGAGGAAAGAGCUUGUUUCCAGGUGUCUGGGAUUUGUAUGGCCCAUAGCACUUAGCUUCAGAGCCAAGAUUCAGUCAGGUAACAAAGUACAGAACUCAUGGAAGUGAGCUGACUAGAUUUAAUUUUAAUCAAUUUUAUCAUUAAAAUUUCAAAGCAUAGUUGUUCAAAAUCACUUGUGAAUUUAUUGUGCGGCUGGCUUGACCAUUACUGGUUGACUUGAAGACUAUUUUUCUUAACAAUGUAUAAGUGGUUGUACUACUGAGAAGUGACAAGGUAAUACUUGAUUAGAUUAGAAAUCGUAUUCAGAUUUCAUGCAUGUUUUCCAACUCAUUGAAAGCUAUCUUUUUUCACUGAGUUAAUUCACUCCUGAUAUUUUAAAGCUAAAAUUUUCCGUUGCUCCUGGUCUUUCUUGUUUUAGUGUUUCUGUGAUGCUUGGGCUCUUGUUUCUUUGUUUAUGACAUGGAUUGUGAAAGUGCUGCCUGAAGCCGAUUGUCCACACUGGGGACCUGGCAUACAGAGACCUGAGAAGAUGUCCUUUCCAGGGUCAUUCAGCAACAGGGAGUUUGCUCUGCAGAGAGCUGCAAGUGGUGCCAUGCUGGGACAGAGUUUAGAGGUAUUUGUCCUUCUCUGGAGGUCACCAGCCAGAAUGGAUAAGAGGAAAGAAAAAAGAGGAAAGUUGAGGAGGCAGGACCUGGAAUAGAUGACGUAGCCUCUGAAAUUGACAGGCUUCUCAAUCAGAGGCGCAAGGAGAUGACAAAGCAGCUUCCUUUUCCAAAUUACCCGGACAGCAUUGAGGGGAGCGGGUGGUUGUUUUCAUUUGAUUUCUCAUUAGACAGUGUUUGGCUUGCAGUGAACCAGGGCACUCGGAAGUGUGACUGAGGGACCAGUGAGUAGGCUCAUGUUGUGCAAUAUGCAUGGGACUUUUGGCCCUUCCCCGAGGGAACUCUGCUUUCUCUCCCACUGCCAGGCACCUUUUGUUGGAUGUGGAGAUUGGAUGGAAAAUGACCCAAGGUAUGUUGGUUCUGCCCACAGGAUUCCCUCAACACAAUUGGGCUGGAGUACCUCAUUAGCAGCCGCAGAUGCCCCAAUGGGAAAAAAUGGCUAGCCUGGCAGAGAGAUGUUCUUCCCCUUAUUUCUUAAAAUAUAGAAGAAACCACAGUCUUGAGUGUCCAAUGAGAAAGAAAUGGUUGCAACUCCUCCGUUUCUGUUUAUGUCAUUUGUGUGAAGGCCCUUGGGUCAGCUGGCAUCCACAUGGCCUGCGACUUCCCUGUUGGGGUGCAGGGGAUCUGUUAUUUCCCUGUGCCUACCAUGCUGGGUCAUUUUCUAAGGAGUUCACUUCUGGUUUAGUUUCUCUUUUUCUAUAUGUUGAUAGUGGAAAAGAACUCUCCAGUGAAAUCAUGUUUUUAGAAAAAUAGAGCCUCUCACAAUAAAAUACAGUAUCUAAUUGAGUCUAAACUAAAGACUGAUCUCUGUAAUUGUGACACUGUCAUUUAUGGUAAUUUAUAGGGCAAGGUGUAGUUCAGUGUUAGAGCAUGUGCCUAGCGUGUGCCAGUUCCUGAUUUUGAUCUCUAUCACUGGAAAUUAAAAAGAGAGCCUAUUAAAUGGAAUAUCUGGCAUGGAAUGGUGGUGCAUGCCUGUAAUGACAGCUGCUCCACAGGCUGAGGCAGGAGGGUUGCCAGUUUGAGGGCUAGAUGGAAAGUUGCAGGCAGCCUCGACAUAGUAAGACCAUGUGUGGAAAAAAGCAAAAAGAAUGUCUAAAUGGGAAUGAGCAUAUUGUUUGAAUUAUACAACUGCUGAAUUUUUGAAAGUUCACAGAUCUUGAGCAACUCAAUGAACUUUCAAAAUGCUAAUGGAAUAAUAAUAAAAAUAAUUACUUUAGACACAUUAGAAUAUAUCAUUAUACUCAAAGACUUUUAGAUCUGGAUAGGAAUUAGGAAUGUUUAGUUUAGCACCUUCAUUUUGUAGAUGAGGAAAUUGCGAUAAAUGUAUCUGAGUCACAGUGCUGAGCCGGAAAAGAGAGUAGUUCUGGUACUGUUACAGGGUAAUAUUAAUUCCAGUAAUUAUAAUGUACAUUUAUUGUGCUCUUACCAUGCCAAGGGAUUAUAUUUUUAUAGAGUCUUCAUAUAACCCUAUGUGCUAUAUGGAUAGAUGGUGAUUCACAGUGGUUCAGCUUAACAAGUUUUUGCUAUCUUUUUUUUCUGGUACCAGGGACCGAACUCAGGACCUUGUGCUUGUGAGGCAGGUACAGCACCACUGAGCUACAUCCCCAUCCCUCAACAAGUUUUUGACUCUAGAAAAGUGUGAAAGUGAUAGGCAUCCAGUGGAAACCGUACUGGGAAUUUUGAAUUUGGAUCUUUUCAUGAACUAGUGAUAUGUUGUAUAAUCAAUCCUUUCUUGAGAGGCAGGGCAGCAACCACAGAUCAUGGGGGAGACAAUCAACCUACAUUGCCCAGAGUUGGUAAGCAGGGCCGUUCAGUAGGUUAAGUGCAUGAAAAUGCAUUUUCAACUAACCACAUUUUCAACUUUUGAUGGGUUGAUUGGUAUGUAACCCACUGUAAGUUAAGCAGCAUUUGUAUAUUAUUCUUCUUCCAGUUUCACAUAAGGAGAAAUGAAGGCGUGGAGUCCCCUUAGAUACAUACAGGAGUGACAUCCAGAUCUGAUACCAGAACCUACACACGUUAAAAAAUAAAAAUGCACUUUAUGGUGAAUCCCACACCGUUAAGCUUAAAAGCCCAUGAAAUGCAAAUGAGAGAAUUUCCAGCACAAUAAGAUUAGAUGCACAGUGUGUGUUAAGGGCUUUCCAAACCCUACAUGACAGGAAGGGCUAGGUUUCCCCCUGUGACAGUGCGAGCCUGGGCCACACAGCAGCACUGACCGGCAGUGUGUUUUUCUCUUUGGAGACAGUGCACAGUGACGGCCCUUGCACAGGAAAGGCCAGCAGCUGAGAGCUUUGUCACUACCUGGAGUGCACUGCUCUCACUGUCCCCUCUGGCCUAUCCCUUUUUUCCUGUCACUCCUUUCUUUUGGAGAACACCUGCUCCACCCAUGCCCCACCCCUAGUUGCUGGCUUAGUUUUAGUGAAACCUUCAUGCAACCUGCUCCUCGUGGCUCUGGUGGAAGGCUGGUUGUUCCAGCAGAUUGUUAUGAAGAGAAACAACCCAGGCUUUCACUCUGCUAUUGCUUGCUCUGAGGUAUGGCCCCAGAACGGGGCUUGGCUGGGAGGGAACAGACUUGUGCUUCUGUCUGCAGACUGUGAUGCUGCCUGCACCCUCCAUUUGCUCCGAGUCACAUUUCUCUCCCCACAUGCUACAUAUCCACACACUGCCUGUCUCACCUGUGAACCUGCGGCUUUUCUGGGUCAUGAGACAGAACCCUUACAUAAACUUGCUUCUUGAACCCUUUCAAAAGUUUCAGUUGGGUCUCCACAUUCCUUCUCCUGGUUAAAUCUGAAGAUUGUGAUAGCACAGCACUUGGUGAUAACAUAGAAGCAGCGGUGGAGCUGGAAAAGUCCUUUGGUUAGUCAGGGGGAAGAGUAAGCAAGUAGCCCAUGCAUGUAUGUCUUUGAGAAAAUUUUUCGUGUUUGUUCAAGGUCAUUAUGAUAAGAUUACAUUUCUGUUUUGUUGUUUGUUUGACACAGGGUCUUCCUAUGUAGUUCAGGCUGACCUUGAACUCACUGUAUAGUCCAAAGUGACCUCAAACUCACAGCAAUUCAAAUUCUGGGAUUACAGGUGUGUGCUUCCGUGCCUGUCUAAGAUUACAUAUUUUGAGGAUGAAGCUAUUCACAGAAAGAAAAGGAAAUUUGUAAUCUUUAGUUCCACCUGCCCAGGGCCUUAAGCCCAACUCAACAGUAGUUGUCUAUGCGGUCAGACAAGCCAGAACCACUGGGAAUUAGCUCCAAUGGAAGUUACAGUCACCCCUCAAUAUUCUUGAGGAUUGGUCUCUGGACUCAAUGAGUCCAAGGACACUCACGUUCCUUAUAAAUAAUGGCAUAGGGUUUGCAUACAACCUGUUCAUGUCCUCCUGUAUACUUUAAAUCAUCUCUAGGUUACCUAUAAUCUCUUCUAUAACAUAAACACUAUGUAAAUAAUUGUUAACUGUAUUGUUUAGGGAAUAAUAAUAAGGCUGUAGCUGUUCAGAACAGGUGUAAUUACUUUUGAAAAUAUUUUUGAUCCUCGGUUGGUUGAAUCUGUGGACAUGGAACCCAAGAAGGAGGCCACAAUGCCUCUAACCCUGGCUGGGAACUUCUUAUUUCCAUGGAAAUUGGCACAGUGUAGUGGGUGUUAUAUAGAAACUCAUGAAAUGGACUCAGAAUUCUAACAGAGUGCACCAGACAAGCUCCAGGGCUGUUUUGAAGCAAUACAAAAUGCUUGAUUAAUUUGGGGGGAACUCUUACAGUAAGGAAAUAAAUUCUGUGAUGCAGUGCUUAUUUUGUUUACAUGUGCCACAUUGUUUUAUUAUUAUUGCUAUUAUUAUUAUUAGUCUUUUUUUUCAGACAGGGCCUUGCUAUGUAGUUCAGACUGGCCUUGAACUCACUAUGUAGCCCAGGCUGACCUCCAAUUUGCAGCCAUCUACCUCCCUUAGCCUCUCAGGGGAUUCCAGGCAUGCACCACCACAUCCAGUUCUAGAUCGAGUGUUUUAAAGGUAUCUGUUCCCAAAGAGUUAAAAUCCUUGGCAUCCCCUUUCCCAGUAUAUCAAUUGCUCAUUUAUAGUCUGUGGUGUUAACUGCUGGACUCUUAUGUUCUCAUUGCUUUAUGAGAUUUGAUAUUUUUCAACUAGUCAUUAUACUUCCAGUCUGUGCUUUAGUCUUUGAGCCCAGCUUUGGCAUCAAGAUAAAUCCCUGCAAUUAUAUGGGAAUUUAGUGGCAUAAGGUACUUUCUUGCCCUUUGUCACAGUCCUGUGAAAGAGGGAGGACAUCAUCACCAUUGUGUACAGAGAGAAUGAGAGAAAAUGAGUAACUUGUCCAUGCUCAUAGAAUAAGGAACUAACAAAUUCAACUCAGCCUGCAGUCUGCUGACUUCCAAUCCCAGGCCCUUUCUCUUCCUAUAUGCUGUCAUCCAGAGAAAGACCAAUUUUGACUUUUUCAUGAUCAUAUGCUUAGAUAUAGCCCUGUGGGAUAAAAAGUAUCAUAACUUGUCUCAUUAUCUUCUCAUAGGCGAAAAGAAAAUAGAUGCCUGAUUUGUAGCAUGCCAUUCCAUUUGUAUUCUUGAUGGAAUUUCCAAAGCCUAUGUGCAAUUGACCUCAAACAAGGAACCUCUUAUAAUAGUUCAUACACAAUACUAUUUGCUUAGGGUAACAUUUAAAACAGAACUCAGUGAUCCUUUUCCUUCCCAGUGUGAUUGAGUUGGAGUCAAAUCUACUAUGGUGUGAUACAGCAUUCACCUGUAAGGAGAUCUGGUUGUUUUCUGAGAUAGAGAAAAUGAAGUCUUCCCUCCAGCACACACUCUCUCUGCCCAACAAGAGCAUCAGCACACUUGGAAGUUCUGCCUUCUUAAGGCAGCUGUAUUUCCAUGGAGCAAGAGUGUACUCUGACCACAGGAAUAGCAUACAAGGUAAUCAUCUAUCCCCUUGGUGCAAUUAUCUACCCACAAACACACAAGAGAGUUUUAGUUUGCUAGAGUAAUCAAGACUUUCCACUAUCAGUCAACUUUCUGUUAUGGAAAUCCAGUUCAUCGUCCAACAGCGUUAUUAGUAAGAUGGCAAGGUCAAAAGAUGACAGCAGAUGAGCUCUGAUGAUUUUAAGUGCAGCUCACGCUGCAAUGGCCAGGGGAAAAUUAAGCAACACCUUUGCGACCGUAAGAGCUGCUUAGGCUUUAUUUUUUAGGUAACUUACUUGAGCGUGUUUAAGACAGCCUUCUUUGAAUUAAAAAAUUUCUGAAAGACAUUUAAUCCAUGAACUGACAAAGAGUAUUUUUCUUUAGUGACUAUUGCAAUCAUCAGAAUUUUCUGCACCUGUCAAAAGGACAACAAGGAAAGAAAAUAAAAAAGAGAAAUGAAAUGAUAAGCUAAUGACAGAUUUUACUGAAUUACAGCUUGCAGGAUUUGAAGCAAUAUGAAUCUUAAUGCCACUAUUAUAAGUGGAGGAUUCCACUCAAUAUACACAUAAUUUUUGUAAAUGCAGACAUCCCAACAUCUUUUAAGUUUCUAUUUGGUCAGAUGGGCAAUUUUAUUUUCUGAAGGCUUCUCUAUUUGCCAGACACUGUUUUAUUUUUCAUUUAAUUUAGUGUUCAGACAGACUUGUCCUCACCCCACAAGAUGUCCUAAGACCCUGUAUAGAUCAUUAUGUCGUUGAUCUGCUUUAGUAUUAUAAAUAUAUUUGGAGUUUCAACUUGGCACAUGUUCCUGGAACAGUCUUUGGCAGAGAACUAGUAAUGUGAUGAAAAUUACAUGUGAAAAAAUUAAAUCCAUAUCUAAUCUGACAAUUUGAUUUUAGUAACUGCCUUUGAAUGUCUGUAAGUGAUUUGAAUGGCUUUUCUUUCCCUGUCUGCAGUGUUUAUAUAGUUGUAGAGACCUAAACAAUUAAUGAAUUGGCCAAAAGAGAAGAGUAGCAGUUUAAGAGAACAACUCAGGCAAAGAGGCCAUGGAUCUAUGAUAAAAUCAGAUUCCAGUUAUUUUUUUUCUUAGUCAUUCCUCUGGCUUUUUUUAAAAAUAAAAAAUUUCUCUCCACUCAACAAUUCAAAAUGGCCCUAACCAAGUUUCCUUGGAGUCUUCUAUUUAUAUUAACUUUGGGAAGGCGUCAUGAGGGAUUCCUUCCUGGAAUUCACACAUACAGCUCAGUUUUAUAGAACAUGAGACCUGGAAUGAAGGAGCUAGGAAAAAGAAAUGUCUUUUUCCAGCCACACUGUAACAUGCCUCAUGACUAUCAAGGAUGAAUCUUCUCAGAUCUCCAGUCAAUAUAGAUUUCUGGAAUUCAUUAACUACUCCAGAAUUUUAAGCAGUUUUAAAUUGAAGAACUGAGUAUUAUCUCCAUAAUUGGUUCUGGGAAACUCAGACCAUGAGUUCAGCUUGACUGAAUUUGGGAAUCUGCCCAGCUUCCAGUUCUGUUUUUCUAAGUAGUAAGUAUUUCAUUUAUGUGUGGAAUGCCUGUAUUCUCAAUCCUAUGUGUUGACAGGAUGUUUUAGGGAUUUUUUUUUUCUUUGAGGGCAAGGCCAGUGCCCAAUCCGAAGGAUGAUGCUAGAGAUUUCUCUAGCCCAUUUAUCUCUCCAAUCUCUUAGUUCUGAAACAAACCUGCUUCUUUCUGUCUUCCUUCUGUAGUAGAAAUUUAUACUGUGUCUGUUCUAGGGAGAAAAAAAAAAAAAGCAUUUAUUUUCACCUUACCCAGAAGGGGACUGUGGGCACUCUUAUGAAAGAGAAAAAUUUCAGAGGUCAAGUACCUUGUACCUGGUGAGAACACAAACCACUGAGUCACUUUCUAGUUCUCCUCUGCACGAAACAAAGUACGAUAAAACCUUGGAUUGCGAGUAACUUGUUCUACAAGUGUUCUGCGAGAGGAACAAACAUUUCUAAUAAAUUUUAAUACAUUUCUAAUAAGUAAGUGAUAUCUUGCAAUAUAAGUAGUAUGUGACCUGAACAUCACAUGAUCCCUACUGAGCCAAUGGUUCAUCUCUCUCUCUCUCUCUCUCUGGGAUCGUGGGUGACCAUUCUCCAACAGCAAGUGGUUAUGGAGGAGUUCUCAUCUGCAGAGUAGGAGGAGCAGCAUAACACUCCACUGUGUAUAAAUACAUUUUCCUUAUCUAUUCAUCUGUUGAUGGACAUAUGUUCUGUUUCCAAGAUCUAGCUAUUAUAAACUAUGCUGCUAUAAACAUGGUAUACAUGUAUCCCUCUAAAAUGAUGCUUUUAACUCUUUCAGUGAUACCUUGAAGGGGGAUGGUUGGAUCAAAUGAAAUUUCUACUUUUAGUUUUUUGAGGAAUCUCCACACUAUUUUCCAUAGUGGUUAUACUAGUUUACAUUCCCACCAACAAUGUUGAAGAGUCCCUUUUUCUCCUGCAGCCUCACCAGCAUUUGUUAUUAUUAGAUUUUUUGGUAUAGCCAUUCUUUCUGGCAUAAAAUGGCAUCUCAGUAUAGUUUUAAUUCACAUUUCUCUGAUGGCCAGCAAUGUUGAGCAUUUUUUUCACAUAUUUAUUGGCCAUUUGUAUAUCUUCUAAGAAGUGUCUAUUCAUUUUGGUGGCACAUUUUUGAUUGGGUCUUUUAUUUGAGGGAGUCUACUUUUUUGAGUUCUUUAUAUAUUUUUAAUUUUAGUCCUCCUACCAUGGCAAAAAUUAUUUCCCAUUCUGUAGAUUGUUUCUUCACUCUAUUGGUUGUUUCCUUUGCUGCUCAGAAGAUUUUUAAUUUGACAUGAUCUCAUUUGUUGAUUCUCUUGUGCCACUGGGGUUCUGUUCAGAAAGUCCUUGCCUAUGCCUAUGUCUUUAGGAGUUGGACCUAUUUUAUCUUUCAGGAAGUUAAGUGUUUCUGUUUUAACAUUUAGAUCUUUGAUCCAUUUUGAUUUUAGUUUAGUACAUGGUGAGAUAUAUGGAUCUAGACUCGAUAUCUACAUGUGGAUAUCCAAUUUUCCCAGCAUCAUUUAUUAAAGAGGCUAUCUUGCUUCUAGUGGAUGUUUUUGGCUUCUUUGUCAAAGAUCAAAUAGCUGUAUAUGCCUGUGGUUGUUUCUUCUUCUAUUCUGUCCUAUUGAUCCACAUACCUGUGUUUGUGCCAGUACCAUGCUGUUUUAGUCACUGAAGCUCUAUAACUUUAAGUCUGGGAUUGUGAUACUUCCUGCUUUGCUUUUGUUACCUAGAAUUGCUUUUGCUAUUCUGGGUCUCUUCUGAUUCCAUAUAAAUUGUUUUUUCUUGCUCUGUGAGAAAUGAUGUUGGUAUUUUGAUUGGGAUUGCACUAAAUCUGUGUAUCAGUUUUGGAAGUAUAACCAUUUUUAUUACAUUGGUUCUGCCUAUCCAGGAACAGGAGAUGUUUUUCCAUUUUCUGAUGCUCACCUCAAUUUCCUUUUUCAAAGUGAUGUAAUUUUCAUUGUAGAGGUCUUUUACUUCUUUAGUUAGGUUAAUACCUAAGUAUUUAAAUUUUUGAUGCUAUUGUUUUAGUAUUGUUUUCCUAAUUGCCUUUUCAGUGAGUUUAUUAUUAGUGUAUGGGAAUGCUACUGAUUUUGUGUGUUUAUUUGCAUUUUCUUUUUAAUCAUAGCUCUCCUUGUGUCUGUGUUAAAAACUCAUGCUCUCUAUGCAAAGAACAGCCAUUCUGUGGUGUCUGGAUUCUCCUGGCCCUGUCAUGCAGCUGACAUUAUAUCAUACCCUAUACAUACCCAUUUCUAUUGGAGGAGAGCUUCCGAAAAACAAAUCACCCUAGAUUUUGUGGAUUCGUGACUAGAAUCAUCCUAGACUUUGUGGGUACAGUCUCUUUUUUAGCUCCUACCCAGAACACAUUCAUUGUGUUCAUUAUUGAAGUGUUCUCUCAAUUGUGGUGCUGUGCACAUUGUGCAGGCUGGUCCUGCAGAGUGAAACAUCUGAUGACACUCAAAAGUCAUUAUUUUAUCUCACACAGUGACAGGUAUAAAAAAGUUCAUGGCUACAAGACUAGCUGAUUAACUAACAAUUACAGUUUGCUUUAAAUUAUAUUUGGUUUUUAUAAGAAGUGACAUAAUAUUGGCACCAAAUUGAGUGAUCAUAUUCAUUCCUUUAAAAUUACUUUGGCGUCAUGAUUAUAGAUAGCUAAAAGGGCCAAGCAGAGCUUGAAGCAGGAUUAGUGUAACAUAUCUCAUGCUAUUUUAUUUCUUUGUGAUUUGAAAGAAAUACUGCCUUUAACCUCUCUGUGAAAGUUAUAAGAACUUUUACUUAAGCUAGUGUUGAUGGUAUUAAGAUAUAAGAAUUGAGAAUUUAUCUUUUUCAGCUACAAUGAUUACUGAGCCAUAUGUCAUGCAUAAAAUUCUACAAUUUAUCUGGAAUUCUAUCUCACAUCAAACUUGUGGAAGAGAGACUAAUAUAUCUGAUAAAUUGUUUUGAGUUUUAAUUUCUAUAUUUGGAAAUUUAACUGAACCAAAAACUUUUAAAACCUCAGUAAAUAUAGUCUAGUUUAUAGAUCCUUUUACAUAGAAGCCAGAAUUUACAUUUAGGUAAGAAAAGUAAUAAGAAAAAUCCAAAACAUAUGUUCAUAUAAGAUGAUUCAUUUAGUACUUUUAAACAUAUGCUUUUGCACUAUAUGUUGCACAAACAUGAAUAAGAGUAUAAACUUUAUCCCACAGGACAUCACCACCUAGUUAAGCUGAUUAUUAAAAUACUAUUACAAUAAUCACUUUACAACACACAAAUAUAUGUUCUGUUGAGGAGUGUUAUACAAUGUUCCAUGGGAGUUCAAGGAAAGGAGAUUACUGUAUCAGAAUGAGUCAAGGAAAAUUCCAUAGAGUUGAUGACUUUUGGGCUGGGUAAAAAAGAAUUAGUAGUCAUUGUUCAAGAAUAAAAAAACAAAACAAUAUUCUGAAAUAGUCCACUCCAGGAAUAGCAUGUAACUUGGUAGGGGCGAAUCAUGGAGCACAUAUUGGAAGAGAGAGGGAAGAAAGGGCUCAAACACAAAUUGUUUCCAGAUGGUUAAGAGCAGUGUUUGCUCUUCUAAAGCAUUUAGAUAUUUUUGAGAACUAUUUAAAGUUUUUAGUAAAAACCCUUGUUAUUAUAGGAAAUUUCAAAUAUAUAAGAAAAUAGACAAAAUAGCAUAAUGAACCCACAAGUAUUCAUUGCCAACUUUAACAACUUUCAAUUUAUGGUCCACCUUGUUUCAUUUACAUGUCCACUCAUGUUCCUUUCUUCUCACUUUAGUUUUGAAGCCAAUAUUACAUAUUGUAUCAUUUCAUCUGCAAAUACUUUAGCAUGAAUUGCUGGAAGUUGAGUUCUCUUUAAAAAUCUGUGAUAUUAUUAAUAUACCUAAAAUAGUUACUAAUAAUUUGUAGCUAUUAUUGUAGUUUGUCAAGUAGAAGAAUGAUAUAUUUGCUUUCUGGUAAGAACACUCUGAAGGCAAUGAAAAGGACUGACUAAAGAGAAGAAAGUAUCAAAGACAAAGAAGACUGCAGAGACAGAUUUGAAGCAAGGCAAUGGUAACAAGAGUGGAUUAAUUUUCAGAAUAUCUAAAAAGUUGAGAGUUCUUGAGAUCAAUUGUCCAUGGUGGUGCGAGAGACGAGGGAGUAGAGGAAGAUUUGGAAGUUUCAACUUGGAUAAUCAGCAUGUGAAAACAACAUUAACUGAUGUAGUGUAAGAAAUUCUUGAAAAGCAAUUUAAUCUAGUUCAGCACUAGAUGGAGAAUGUUGGAAACAAACUCCAAAAUAACUUCCUAUUACCCUCAAACAAAACUUUGAGACUUGGCACAUUUGGAGUAAUUUUGAUUGCUCCAUUUUGAGAAAGCUGUUAACAAAAUUUGGAGGACGUAUAGCAAAUAGCAUCUAAAAUGUUCAGGAAAAGAGAGGAACUGCUUGGACAGACUAAAAACUAAGAACUCUUCAGAUUACAUAUCUUGAAAGGUUAUAAAAUCAUCAAGGCUCAUGAACAUGACUUACUCACCAAACCCAAAUCACUAGAAUUUAAAAUAAUGAAAGGAAAUUCCCUCUCAUCUUAUAAUGAAAAUAUUCAGACAAACAAAAAAGUUGCAAGAAUUAGACAGUGAAUACCCAUUUAUCACCAAUUCAUUUCUACAAUUUAGUGUGUUUUAGUCCUCUUAGUAUAAUUUUAGAUGCUUUUUAACGCAUCUGUUUGUUUAUCCACUCCUCUCUCUAUCCAUUGGUUCAUAUCUAUUUUUUUCAAAAUAAAUUGUAGAUAGCACUACGUUUAUCAGCUUUAUUCCUAAACACCUUAUUGUGCAUAUCAUUUACCAAACUUCAGCAUUUGUUUAGGCAUAUGUUAUAUUUUCCUCAAGAGAGAUUAGUCUUGUAUUACACUUAUUUUCUCAAAAAGAAAGGUGAUUCCAAAGGAACUAACACAAUUCAUGGCUGAUUAAGAAACUGAGACCCUCUUGAUCCUCAGAAGUUGUUGUCAUAUUAUCAUACAGAGCAGUCGCUUUCUACUACAAAACAGCCUCAGGCACUGUUAAGUACUGGCGUGGCAAUGCCAUGCCCAUCCCAAUAAAUAUACACUACAUUUGAACAUGGAGAAACUGAGACUCAGAUAUAUAAGCCUUUUGCCCAUAAGUGAAAGAACUGGUUCUAGAACAAAUCACCUCUAAUAGUUUGCCUCUGACUACUCUGCAGAGUAAUAAUGUGAUGGAACAGAUGAUUUAUAAGUAAAAGGCAAUUUAUUCAUUUUACAUAAAGUCAUCAUGAGAUUUCUCAUUAUGCGAGAGUAGCUAAGCAAGGGGAAAGGAGAUAAAAUUUUCUCACAAAAAUAGCUCCUCAUUCACAUAUAGGAAAAAACCCUGCCAGUCAGUAGGAUAGAGAACAAGUUUGGACCUAUUAAGUUUUCUUAAAUAUUCUCACUUAUGUCAAAUUUUAACAUGGUAAAUGCUGCUGAUUGGUUCAAGAAUUAAAAAUCAGGCUGUGGGGCUGGAGGUAUGACUCAGUGGUAGAGUACAUGCUUAGCAUGUGUGAGGUCUUGGGUUCAAACUUUGGCACCAAAAAUACAUAUUAUAUAUUCAGGGUGAGAUGAUGUCUAAAACAUGUACUCAUCAAAAUAUUUAUUACUGAUAAAGAUACCUAGUAUUUAUUUGAAAACUGAAAAAUGCAGUCAAAUAGCCAGACAUCUGCCUGCACAAAAAGCAGACAUUCUGAUACUAGAAAAAAAUUAGGCAUUUGAUGGACUUUUUCAGUUUCUAUUUUGAUGUUAUAAUUUCAAUCUGUGUCAGCGGCUCUCAACUGGGAAUGAUUUUACCACCUAAGGAGCAGUUGGCAAUGUCUGAAGACAUGUUUUGCUUCCCAGUGGGGCUGGAGGUACAGACCUAUUCAUAUCUAGUGAGUAGAGGCCAGGGAUCCUAGGCCAGGUAAACAUCCUACAAUGUACAGGACAAUGACAGAGAAUUAUUCGCCCACAAAGGCCAAUAAUACCAAGCUUCAGGAACCCUAGUCUGUACGAACCAAUUUAAAAAUCCCAUGUGCCUUCAGAACACUUUAGAAGAAUUUCAUGUAACGUUGCUUCUUAUUACUGCUGUUGAGCUGUAAGUGGUGAUGACUUCAUACCCUCAGUGAAACACUUCUGCAGCCACCCUAAUGAGAGAAUUUGCUGUAAAGUAACCUCAGUGUAGGGUCCAUAAAAGGCUGAACUGAGCAUCUCACAAGGCUCUUGAGUAUCCAUAAGAUCCGAUGGUGGCUUGCAAGGAUCCAGGUACUUAGCAGACGAACAGUCAAAGCAGUGAGGGCUACAUUAUUGAUCAGAACAAGAAAAAGGAGCAUUAGGCCCUAAAGCAGGGGAAAGUUCAUCCUAGGAUUGGAGAAGUUCAUUUCUCUGUUUCCCUCAUUCCUCUUCAAACACUCAGGAAGGAGAAUGGAGGGCAUGAAAGUCAGGCCAAUUCUACACUCGUGCUACCAACUUGAUAACUGAUUAUUUCUGAUUUAUGGUAUUCUCCUGCAUCCUCUCCUGACUAAUUGAUGACAUUUCUGUGUCUGUAAUCCUGUUCUCUUUCAUUCAUGUUACAAUUGUGCCCAUCACUUACCUUUCAUUAUCCCCCCUUUUUCUGAGUUUUCAGCUUCUUCCUUUCAACUAGAGAAGCCCUUUCUGUACAUAAAUGUGGUUCAGUAACUCUCAUCUUAUAAAACAUCUUUUGCUCCCAAUAGCUCUGCCAAUUUCUCUUCACUCAAUCCUAGCCCAACUUAGUAAGCUUGUGUUCCACGCACGCUGUCUUUAUUCCCUUCUAUUCUUUAGAUCACAUCAACCUGGCUUCUGCCCACAACUCCAAUAAAGAUGCUACAUUAUUGUCAAGGUCCCCAGUGACCUCGUGGUGGCAGAUGAUGUUUAAAGAGCAGAUGGUUGCUCCUCCUUUUGUUAUUUGACUUAGUAGCAUUCAAUACAGCUGACUAUUUCAACUUCCAUGAGCACAUUCUUCUUGUGGCCUCAUGGUGCAACAGGCUUUUAAGUUUUCCUUCCCUUUCACAGGAACUAUUCACAGUACUUUCUUGCUUCUCCUCCCCUCCUGAUAUUAGAAAGCCCAAGGUUUCUGGGUGGACUCUCUUGUCCUCUCCUUAUACUUUCUUCCUGAGAGAUCAAAGCCAUGCAUAUGGUUUUAAAUUCUAUUUACAUGGGGGUGACUCGAUUUUAAGUUCUAUCCAAGAUCUUUACUUGGAUCUUCGGAUUUGUAAAAUAAAUGCAACUGAGCCACACGCAUGUAUUUUACAAGCACUUCAGCCUUCUUACAUCCUGAGUACAACUUAGGUUUCUUCCUAUGUACCCCCUUCCUCCAUCCUACAGCCUUCUCCAAGUCUCAGUAAAUGGAAUUAUAAUCCAGCCAGUUUCUCAAACCUUUUGUUUCCUCACGUUCUCAGCUGAGUCUUGUCUCCAAGUCUCAGCUCUUGACUUAAAUAUCAUCUCUUUAAAGAGAUAUCUCCUGACCACUCAGCUAAAAUGAUUGUUUUUACCAUUCUCUAUCUUAGCAUUCCCUGUGGGUUUUCAUUUAUAGCUCUUACAACAACUUAUGCUUACAGUAAAACCUUGGAUUGCAAGUAACUUGUUCUACAAGUGUACCAAGAGAUGAGGAAACAUUUCUGAUAAAUUCUAACUUGAUAAAUGAGCGAUGUCUUGCAAUAUGAGUGGUGUGUGGCAUGGAACAUCACAUGGUCACAUCUGACCCAGUGAUCUCUCUUUCACUGCGGGAUUGUAGAGAUUGUCUCCCAGCAGCAAGAUGUUUUGGAGGAGAACUCAUGUGUGGAGGAGGAGAAAAGGACAGAGGAAUCCUUCACUUCAAAUGAGGUCAGGGAGAUGUGUAAAAUGUGGGAAAAAGUGCAGAAUUUUGUGGAAAAACACCACCUGAAUAAUGCUGUAGCACUGCAAGCAAUGACUCUGUUUAACAACAGUGCAAUGGUCACAUUUCCAAAAAAUCUUCAAAGGGAGGCAAAAGAAAGUGUCAUUGGAUGGGUUCCUUGUUAAAAUUAUAUGAAGAGAAAAAGAUUCCAUUCAGCCAAUAGAUUGCAGUGAUUCCUUUAGUGACAGUGAAGUCAUUCUACACAAUAGCCCUCCUCUCUGUCUCCCUCACACCAGCCGUGAAUGUUUUCAAAGGUAAGUGCAGGUUAAUUUGUUUAUUUUUCUUUAUAUUAUGCACUUUCUCUAUUAGUUCUUAUUAUAUUACAGUAUUGCAAUCUUUUUAUGUUGCUGUUGUUUGUUUUUUGAGACAGGGUCUUGCUAUAUAGUUCAUGUUGGACCUGAAUUUACUGUAUAGUCCAAGCUAGCCUUGAACUUGCAGUGAUCCUCCUACCUCCUGAAUGCUGGGAUUAUAGACAUGUGUCACCAUGCCUGGCUUGUAAUCAUUUUUAAUGAAUAUUUGGGGGUUGUAGAAUGAAUCAUCUUAGUUUCUAAUACUUCUUCUGGGGAAAUUCACUUCAAUAUACAAGUAGCUUGGAGUACAAGCAUGUCUCUGGAAUAAAUUAUGCUCACAAACCAAGGUUAUACUGUAUUUGCAAUUUUGUCCAUCUACUUGGUUGAUGUCGAUUUCCCUCUGUACAGAGACCUGGUCUAUUUAGUUCACCAUUAAUUACCAGUGCUUGGCAUCAUGUCUGGGAGGUAGAAACAUAUUUAUUGAGUCAAUAAAAAACUAUUUGGAUAUUGGGAUUAAAACUGGUGCUUUUAUUUAUUUAGUUUUGUCUCACAAGAUAAGAAUUUUUCUGUCAGUCAUACUUUUAUUUAGAUUAAAAGAUAACAUUUAGCCACCACUCAGGAGGAAAAAGAAAAAAACCAAGAUAAUGAUAAAUUGAUAUUCAAUUGGAAAAUCACUUCUUUUUUUGUAUUCUAAUUUACUUAUAAUAUAGAAAUAAUGCUAUUUGUUGUGGUUAAUAUUUUGAUGUUCCUCCAAAGCCUCAUGCACUCAUAGAUGGAGCUUUUGCAAGGUGAUUGGAUCAUGGGCUUGUGUUAAUCAUCAGAGAACAGUUCCACUGAUGAGUUUAUAGGUGACUUGCUAUUAAGAGGUGGGAUUUGGUCAGAAGAAGUGGGUCACUGGGAGCAUGGCCUGGAAGGGUUUCUUUCUUCCCAUCUCUCCUUUCACUCACUCUCUGCUUCCCCACCACCAUCCCAAGAGCAGCUUUCCUCAGUUCUCCUCCACCAUGACCUCUGUCAUGCCAUCCUGCCUUGGAGCCUGUUGAUUAUGGACUAAAAUGUGAGCCAAAAUAAACCUCUCCUUCCUUUAAGUUGUGAGUCUCAGGUACUGUGCCUCAGCAAUGAAGAAAGUGACUAUUCACUCUGCCAGAAUUAUUUUAAAAGAUUAUUUAAAUUUAAAGGAUUACUUUAAUAAUGCUUUGAAAAAAGUCAUUAAAUGCAUAUAGCUAUACUUGAGAUGGCGCAGAGAUUCUAUGUAUUAUCAAUUUCUUCUUUCUGAGAACUAUACCGAACCAAUGUCUGAGCUCUUGAGGUUUGUGAACCAAUAAAAUGUCACCAGUCUUUAUUGUUAUGUCUUAUUUGAAAGUGUGUUAGUCAGCUUUCCAUCACUAGAACAAAUACUCGAGAUAAUCAACUUAUAAAGAGAAAAGGUUUAUCUGGCUCAGAGGCUUGGAGUGUUCUAUCCAUUAUAAGUUGGAACCCAGUGCUUUAGGCUUGUGGAGGCACCUCAUGGUAGGAGCACUUGGCAGAGAGAGACUGCUCACCUGAUGGCCAGAAAGUUAGGUGAGAAAGUCAUGGAUCCCAUAGUCCCCUUUGAAGGCGCAUGCCAGUGACCCAAACACUUCCCACCAGGCCCCACAUCUUACAGUUUCUACCACCUCCUAGUAGUAUCAACCUGGGGACCAAGCCUUUAAUACAGGGACCUGUGGGGAACAUUUCAGAUCAAACGUUAGCAAAAGGACACCACUAGAUAGUGUCUUAGUGAUGUGGCUACAGUUGUGUACUGGCUGUGUGCUUUGGAGCCAGCCUCUUAGCCGCCCUGCCCUGUGGGAGGGGCCAAGCAAGACUGGUGGUCAGCACAGACAGCACAGUGGGCCCUGGCUGAGACCUAGGCCUGGGCACAGUGGACAUCCUGGGAUCUGACCAAGGUGCUGAAGGAUAAGAGAGAAGGAAGCAACUUCACAGGAAGGAGUAAGGAGCAGGGUCUCCAGACCUCAUCAGAGUCAUAGUUACAUUUGCAAAAAUGAAAACCUUAUGUUUUUAGAAUUAGUUGUUCAGUCUGAGGUUGCUUGUGGAGUCUCAGGAGGAACUUAAAAUUUCACUGGCUUAAACUUUUGUGACUUUAAAAAGCUGAUGGUGAGUAUAUUCUAGCACAGUGGCAGAGGGGUGUAGGUUGGUGUGGGGCCAAAGCGACACUUGAAGGGCUCCCCUCAUCAUGACAAUUCCAUGAUUUAAAACCUCACUGGAACUUGUAUGUGAUGCAUUCCCAGAUCCUCCAGCCAACUUAAUACCAGCUAUUUCCUUAUGACUGGGUGCAGAUUAAGGUCCUCCUAAAACAGAUUUCACUGGACUCCUGCACAAGAGGACCCUUCUGGGUUUUCCUGCCCCCCAACAUCACCCUGAAGCGCCAAAGCUUGAGCAUGUGGGUACAUGUAUUACUACACCAAGAGUGCCAGCUGAGACCAACAAAAGACUCAUCAGACCUCUCAGCUUCUCUGUUUCACCAAGCGCAGUUACCUGACCCACAAAGCAGAGUAAGCCAAGUGCUUUUGUGUGACACCAGCUAAUACUGCCCGAGGGAAAAAAAAUAACCAACUUAGACUAGAGCCCUGUCUUUUUUGACAAGCUAGAAGUUGAAGGUGCUGCUAGUCAGUGACUGAUAUCUUUAUUUAGUGGCUUGGUCCCUGAAUUCAGAGACUGAGUUGCAACUGAGUAAAAAAAAUAGAAAAUGAAGUCUUAGAGAAAUGCACUGAGGUGCAAGCCAGAUUUAAUUCUCUUCAAGUAAGGUUGGUUGAACUAAGAAUUGGUUAAACCAAAUGUGUAACAGGACUGGAUAUUUGUCAUUGUUACCUCUUGCUGUUACAUUGCUCCCUGUGUCUUCUGUCUCAGUUUAGAUGUUCUCAGACAAUUAACACUGCCCUGAUUGUAGACAACUGUGGUUUCCUAGUUUAGAACUAAGUCAUGGUUGUACCUAAUUAAACCUGUUGUAUUCUUUUUUUUAAAAAAAGCUCAUGAGUUUUUCCUUCUCUUUUAUUUUGGGCAAAUCCAUAUCCAUUUGUUUUAAGGUUAAAAAAUGAUAUAUUAUGUGCUGGAACCUCAAGGAAUAUUGUUUUUUUUUUUUUUUUUUUUUUUUUUUUUUGUCUUCUGAAAUCCUCUGGGGAAAUCAGUCUUUGAGUAGUGGUUAUUAAACCUUUAUUUCAGACCCUUUGGAGCCCUUGAGCAAGGCUAUGGACACUCACUGUAGAAUAAAAGCCCAUACAUACAAACACGAAAAAUUUCACAAAAUCCCACAUUUGGCGUUAAGGUUUUUACAGAUCUCAGAUUCUUAAGAACUUUGCUAUGGACUGAAAAUUUUUUCCCCAGAAUUCAUAUGUUGGAGCUCUUAAUCCUCAAUGUGACUUGUCUGAAAGUAGAAUUGAUAAGAAGGUAAUUCCGGUUAAAUGAAGCCAUAGUGUAGGUCUCUAAUCUUCUAGGGCUAAUGUCCUUAUAGGAAUAGGGAACUGCCCCGCCGGUUCCGAGUCCGCGGACGACGCGGACGCCGAGCCCUGCAGGAGGCGUUCGAGAGUGACGGGCCGGCCCUGGCUGGAAGGGCCCAGGCGCUCCGGGCUUCUGUUCUGUCACCGCGGGCACCUCCCCCUCCCCAGCCCCGGGCCAAUGGGGCGGGUGAGGCGAAGGCGGAGAGAGCCAGACGUCCUGGUCACUAGCUCCAGUUUUUCCAGAGUGACAAGUGAUUACAAGUCCUUGCUGCCUUCCGUUAGGAAUCAGCAAUAUGCACCAGGAAAAUGCUUCUAGAAGAAAACCAAUUGAGAUUCACCCACAGAUAUCUUCCUAUUGAGUUCCAGAACUGAAAGAGAAGUUGGAGGUCUCCAUCCAUUCAUCUACUUCAGAAAUCCUAACAGAGAAAAUGAAGCCCUCUUCUGAAAUGAAAGUUAUUUUGCUCAGGACCACAUUUCAUUUCUGCACAAGGGACGGUUGAAACAGAGGCAGAGCAGGAAAGAGAACAAAAAAGAAAUGGAGUGAUAGGAAGAGAAACAGAAAGAUACAGCACAAGAAGAACAUCCAUCAGAAAGAGAACAAUACAGAUUUAGUUACAGAUAAUGAAAGGGCCAGGAGCCAUGCUCAGUCACAGGAGAGUAGACAUAGAGAUACAGGUCCUGCAAGUGGCAUUCACAAAAGCUGAAAACAGGAGGAAAAGGAUGGAACACACAGGGAAACGUGGAAUGAGGCAUACAAAAAGAGAGAAAGCAACCGUCUUUCACGGGAUGGUAUCCCUUUUAGGCUAGCACCGAGAAAAGCCAUAUUGCAUUUAAAGAAACAUAGCACAGCCAGGCGUAAUGGUGCGUGCAUGUAAUCCCAGCUAUUUAGGACUCUGAGGCAGGAGGUUCACAAGUUCAGCCAGGCAUGGUGGCACAUGCCUGUAAUCCAAGCCUUUGGGAGACUAGGAGGAUCCCUGUGAGUGUAGGGCCAGCCUGAACUACAUAACCAGACCCUGUCUCCAAAGCACAAAACAAAUAAGCAGAAAGUAAAACUUAAGUUUGAGGCCAGCCCGGACAACUUAGUGAGAACAUCACUACAGUCUGCACUCCCACAUUAAACGGGGAGGGGGGAAGGAGGUGUGGUGAUGCACACCUGUAAUCCCGGCACUCAGAAGGCUGAGGCGGGAGGAUCACCUCAAGUUUGAUGGCAGCCUGGGCUACAUAGUGAGUUCAAGGCCAGCCUAAACUACAUAGUAAGACCCUGUCUCAAAAAAAAACAACCAACCAAAUUCUAUACAUACAUACAUGAAAACGAUUCCUCCACCUGCCUUACGGCAUGGCUGGGAGAACUAGGUGAGACUAUUUUUAAAAAUACAUAAGCAACAUCCUGAGUUUAAUCCCCAUUACCAAAAAAAAAAAAAAAUUAAACUACAUGCUGGACAUGAACAGUCGAUUGUUGUUCUUUAUCUUGGACUCCUUGAAGCACAGCUCCCUGCUGUUAAACCCCUUAGUAGCGUCUAUUAGAUUGAAGAUACCCUAGACUGCAGCUUCCUCAGUUUUACCCUGGACAGUUUGCAAAAGCAAACUAUGAGCCUGCGAAGCACAGUCAGACCCCAGCACAUGGUUUCUGCAAACAGUGAGCGCAGCUACACCCCUCAGGGACGUCUGCUCUUGUACACAAUGAUAAUGAUCCACAAAAACCAUAAUUAACACCAAGGAAAAGAAAAAGAAUAGGAGAUGCCUGUUGCCUGUUAUGUGACAACGGAGAGAAGGCAGCCAUCUGUAAGAGGGAAGGAGAGCCCUCACUAGGAACUAAAUUGGCCGGAACCUUAUGUUGGACAUCUCAGUCUCCAGAACUAUGAGAAAUAAAUUUCUGUUGUGCAAGUCACACAGGCUAUGGCCUUUUGUGAUAGUGGCCCGAGUUGACUAAGGGAAGCCCUACCCUAGAACCUGGUCUGCUCCUGAUGGAGCUGUGCUUGUGGUCACUGAUCCAUGGAGAAGUGGAUGAGGGUGGGGGACACCCUAGUGAGCGAAUGUCCCACAUCUGGAUGAUCCGCCCUGAGGAGUGUGUGGGCGCCUGGGCGCACAGGGGCAGGGGCAGCCAGCAGUACCUGGCCGGGCUCUCUCUGCCUCAGAUUUGCUGCUGAGUCCACAAAGACAGUAAGUAUGUAGGACACCGAAGGACCUGGUGCUCCUCUUCCACGCAUUACCUCUUCUAUACAGGUUUUUGUUUUAUUGGGCAGGUGGUCUACCUGAACCUAGGGACCUCUUUAACUUUUCUUUCAAGUGUUUAGUAUGAGACAGAUGUCUUCUUGCACACAGUAAUUCCAUUUUGUAAGACAGAGAAGAAUCUCCCCACAAUUAAGAUUGGGGCCACCCAAGCCUUAAACUGCUGGGAAUGUGGAAAUUAUUUUGUCUGGUAAAUUCCAUUUACCCAUCCUUUUCCUUCUUGAGAAAGCAACCACUAUCUAAUGUGGAUAGAAUUUGGAGACCAGGACAGAAGGAGCGCAGUUCUCAGGCUAGUUAGUCUGACUUCUGGCAGAGCAGGCCAAAGUUACAAGCCUAGUGGUGAUGUUCAAAGUGAGGACUAGGAGAGGGGAGAAUGGGAAAGGGUUUGCUGGAAAAGUUAAAGAGAAAAGACAAAUUUGAGUGGCAAAAGGUAACAGCAAAAUCUCUGCAGUUCAAUAUGAAGGAAGUAAAUGCGCAGAGUCAGGACCGAAACAUCAGAGCCCAGGAACCAAGACCCAUCAUUAGUCCUAAAAUUUUGCCCCCCACCCCGUCUCAAAGAUACCCAGAAACUGCUUCAGAUGCUCAGUGUCCAUCAGCCAGAGAUUGUGCUUUUUACUAAAAUCAGCGCUAUCCUUUUAGAUCCUUGAAUUCAAAGAAAUGUAUUGACAAAGAUAACCAAGUUAGAAUAAUCUUUGCAAGUCAAAGAGCUAAACCUUGAAAUCCUACUGGUGACUGAUAGCAUAUAGCUGCUUCAUUUCUCCAUGGGUUUAAAUGGCAAAAAGAGUGACUAUAUGUUAGAAAACCCCAAAUCAGCCUUUUGCUGCAUGCACUUUUUAUGUCCCAAACGGUUUUGGAUUCUUUGGAAGCUCAUGAUUAUGGAGUCUUUUCUUGCACUAACUCAACAUUUAAACUUGGGCAAGUCAUGUUAUCAUUUUGGAUUUGGGCUUUCUUUUUAGAAUGUGGUUGCUAAUCUGGUAACUAAAUGAAAGGUCCUCUUGAAAAGUGGAAAUGUUCCCUGUGUCUUCUACUGCCACAGUCUCUUUCUGUUAGAGCUACAGAAUUUCAUCUGAGUAGACCAAAAACACUACCAGAAGGCUUGAAUGAGCAAGAUGAUGAGACCAGGUGUUUUGACACCAAGCCUGCAGCUGCCCUGACCAGUAAAUAACUCUUCUGUAGCUUCUGGCUUCUCUAUUUAGAGUAAUAAACAACAAAGGAAAAAUACCAAUUCAUAUAGUGCCAGUCAUGUAAAUGACUCGUUCUAAGUGCUAGAAAUUAACCUGCUAUUUAAUUAUAAGAAGUUAUGAAAAGUUAUGAAAAGCCCAUAGUGACAACUGCUGGUGACAUACAUGAGUGUGACACAGAGAAGUAAAUUGUUACUAGUUGUAAUCAUAUAUCCAGAGCAAUUAUAGAGAGGAAGUGGGAGAGAGUGAAACUAUAUAUUCACCAUAGCAUGCAGAAUCUGAAAAUGUUUGCCUUCAGCAUGAAUAGGCACACAUUUUUUUUUAGAUAGUCCAAUGUACAUUUUAUUUUCUCUUAAUCUUUUCAAAAUUUAUAAAAUAAAGUAUUGAGGGGGCAUUGGCACCAGUCCCAAGCUGUUGAGGAAUCAUUAAUAGACAUCUAUUUAGUUGAUAGGAGAAACAUGUAUAAAACUUUAGGAGAAAAAAACCCCCAUAAAACUGGAGAAACUGCAAAACCCAGAGGUAAUGUUGAUAUUUAAGGAUAUUUUAAAUAGAAAUAAAUAAUAAUUUGCUAGCCUAACUAAACUUGACAAAUGCUGUAGAAAUCCUGAUAUAUUUUUUUGCUUAGAUAAGAGGUGAAAUUAGUCUUGCAAUCUGAAUCUACCUUUCGAGUGCGCAUUUGCCAGAAGGCUUAUGUAAGAACGAUAGCAGCCUUACUUAUCCAACCCACAAAUAGUAACACUCUGAAGAUCUGCACUGAAGGCUCCUCUUCGCUUUUGCAUCUGUGCUGUGAGUGGACUGCCCAUGUGUCUCAGAUAGGGCCAUGGUAUUGCCACUGUCUGCAAGACUAAGAAGAUACCAUAAUGGCAUAAUGGAGGACGUAGGUUGCAGAUAAGGAAAAUUCUUUCUAAAUUAAAAAAUAGCAUUUGUACUCUAAACAUUAUCAUAAAGCAUAAUUUGAUUUUGGAAGAAAUUGUAAUACUUGAAAACAACAUUGACAACAAUAACACAUUUUGCAAAACCUAGACUCCCUUAAUCUUGGUUCAGGUGCAUUUUGGGUUUCAGAGAUUCUUGAUUUUUCAUACGUAGAUGCAACUUUAGGUAUUUCAGUUAUUUUUCCUGAUCAUUGAUUUUUUUUUCAUAGUAGCUUUUUUUCCAUCAAAAAUCUGU